CAGUAGCCGCGGUAAUACGUAGGUGGCAAGCGUUGUCCGGAAUUAUUGGGCGUAAAGGGCUCGCAGGCGGUUCCUUAAGUCUGAUGUGAAAGCCCCCGGCUCAACCGGGGAGGGUCAUUGGAAACUGGGAAACUUGAGUGCAGAAGAGGAGAGUGGAAUUCCACGUGUAGCGGUGAAAUGCGUAGAGAUGUGGAGGAACACCAGUGGCGAAGGCGACUCUCUGGUCUGUAACUGACGCUGAGGAGCGAAAGCGUGGGGAGCGAACAGGAUUAGAUACCCGAGUAGUCCCUGUCUCUUAUAC
RNAcentral lists this ribosomal RNA (301 nucleotides) under uncultured bacterium. RNAcentral's name for it is "partial 16S ribosomal RNA". It matches the Rfam family "Bacterial small subunit ribosomal RNA", at positions 509 to 807 of the family's 1533-position model. The record is from RNAcentral.